GAAGUAGUAAGUUACCAUUUUAAACUAUUGGCCUUCAAAUCCGAAAACGAAUUAUUGUUCCUGCUUUC
RNAcentral lists this transfer RNA (68 nucleotides) under Peregriana peregra. RNAcentral's name for it is "tRNA-Trp". Lineage: Eukaryota; Metazoa; Mollusca; Gastropoda; Lymnaeidae. The record is from RNAcentral.